This is a long non-coding RNA of Acyrthosiphon pisum (pea aphid), 198 nucleotides long. RefSeq lists it as uncharacterized. The record is from RefSeq and is a predicted model, not a curated record. The transcript is spliced from 2 exons. NCBI's taxonomy places the organism in Eukaryota, Metazoa, Arthropoda, Insecta, Hemiptera, Aphididae.
GGUUUUAGCAUCGGUUAGUCCAUAUUUUCAUGCUAUGUUCACAAAUUUUGCAGAAAGUAAUAAAGAUCUUGUUGCUAUAAAACACUUAAAUUCUACCGCUAUACAACUCGGAGUAGACUAUAUUUAUUCUGGGGAAGUCGUGGUUACCGAAAAAAAUGUACAGAUAUUGUUGCCAGCAGCAAAUGUAUAGCAGUUACA